GCUAUUUCUUUGGGCCGCUCCCGCAGCAUAUGGAGGUUCUCAGGCUAGGGGUCGAAUCAGAGCCGUAACCACCGGCCUACGCCAGAGCCACAGCAACGCGGGAUCCGAGCCGCGUCUGCAACCUACACCACAGCUCACGGCAACGCCGGAUCCUUAACCCACUGAGCAAGGGCAGGGACCGAACCCGCAACCUCAUGGUUCCUAGUUGGAUUCGUUAACCACUGUGCCACGACGGGAACUCCCUUUUUUUUUAAAUAAUGAUUUUUUUUUUUUGUCUUUUGUCCUUUGAGGGCUGCACCCUUGGCAUACGGAGGUUUCCAGGCUAGGGGUCUAAUCGGAGCUGUAGACGCCAGCCUACACCACAGCCACAGCCAAACCAGAUCUGAGCCAUGUCUGCGACCUACACCACAGCUCACGGCAACGCCGGAUCCUUAACCCACUGAGCAAGGCCAGGGAUCGAACCUGCAACCUCAUGGUUCCUAGUCAGAUUCGUUUUCGCUGCGCCAUGACGGGAACUCCUAAAUAACGAUUUUUAUUUUCCAUUAUAGCUGGUUUACAGUGUUCUGUCAAUUUUCCAUUGUACAACAUGGUGACCCAGUUACACAUACAUGUAUACAUUCCUUUUUCUCAUAUCAUCAUGCUCCAUCAUAACUCUCUGGGCAAGACCUGCAAAGGCUGAGUUAGAAGAGGAGCUUGCGGGCCUGAGAUGCUGUACCCUCUGCAGCUGCAAGGGCCUCCUGUCUCUGUGGGCACUGUGUAGGGGCAACGCUGACCAAGCCCUCUGCCAUUGAACUUGGUCCUUAUGCCACAGCAGGGCUAGGAUUAGGGUGGGGUGAGUGAGGCACUUGCCUUGGGUGUGAAAUUUAAGGAACUGCCCCAAACUCAGUCAGCAAGAAAAUCCCAUUUUAAUGUGAUAUUUAAAGAAGAGAAAUCCAUGCGAAACAUCCAUCACAAACACACUUUUAAACCAAGACAGGCUCUAAGUCCCCACUUGCACAAACACCCCAUCACCCGUGCCUCGCCCUAACCCUGGCCCUGCCUCUGGCGAAACUUGAUUUACAAAAACAGACCGCCUGGGAGCUGCAGUUUGCUAUUUGAUUUUUAAAAAUAUUACAUGACAGUAUUAUUUAUCUUGAUUAGGAGGUAUUUUUGUGCCCCUCCCCUGAAAUUUUGCUCCAAGGCGUGUACUUCACUCGCCUCACCCUAAUUCCUGCAUUGCGGACCACAGCCCUGGGUUUGAAUUUCCAAGCUGUCCCUUCCUUGCUGUGUGACCAUCAGCAGCGCCUGGACCUUUCCUUCCCUGCAUCCCUGCAUCCCCCAGCCGAUGGGGAUAAUAGUGACCAGAGUGCCUGGCACUGAGAUGACACUCAGUCGAAGGCCUCUGCUAUUAUUCCCGACUCCUCAUUCCGAUCCACUGCUCAGCCACCUCUCACCCUGCCCCUUCCUCUCUAGAGCCCAGGCGCAGCCCCUCUUCGGUCCCCAGAUUGCUCCUUUGUACAUUAGAGGAGUUGGACCAGCCUGAUAUCUGGGGAGAUUUUACAGGAUCCUGAAACCUAGAUCUCACGACAUUGAACAGAAAGGACCAAAGUCCUCCAGGUGAUGCUGCAGAGGCUGAAGGCUCACUUAGCUUCUCUCAGCCCUGGACCUGCAGGCUCCAAGGCCUGUGUUCUUUCCACCUGGUGGACCCUUUGUGCCCCACCCAGGCUGGGAAGGAGAAAAGUCAAGGUUCUGGGAACUGGACCUCGGGCCUUGCCAACCCCCCAGGGCCUUCUGAGCCACUGGGAUGCAGCCCAAGAACAGAGCCGUCAGGGACUCUGCCUUUCCUCCACAAUCACAAGUGGGGGAUCCUCCCCCGCACCCCUCUUGGACAGUGAUUUGCUCUGGAGAAGGUUCCUGGAGGUCUGCUCUGGUCCCUGCUCUGUAUUGGAGGCAACCCUCGGCCUCUUCGAGGCUAGUGGGGGCUCAGCCAGAUGAUGGUUGUGUGAGAACAUAGUGUCCAGACACUGCGGCCGAUUCCCCUGGGGAUGAGCCCUGGGCUCAGAGUCAGGGUGCCAGGAUUCUACAGCAGCUCCAGAAUUUCUACAGAGGAGGGGCUUAGGGUUAGUCAUCUGGUUGAAAGGGGGGCUGGAGGUAUUUGCACAGCAUAGCCUGUGAAAACACCCACGGUGGGUGGGAUAGUUUAGGGGUCCUUGGCAUGGCCCCUGCUUCAAGCCCCGUCUCUGUUCUUGUCUUGCUAUGUGACCUUGGGUAAGUUGGUGUCCCGACCUUCUGUGGAAUGGUUGUAGGUUAGGCUUGUACAUUACUGAGUGAAAGAAAUGAUGGGGCGAGUCUUUGUGGGGAUGGUUGGGGACUCAUCCUUUGAGGGUGUCUAGGGUACAGGAAAGUGGAAAGGAAGCAGGAGGUGCUCUUCUGCCCAGGGCUGUGGCUUCCUGAUGAAGGUCACUGGGAGUAUCUAAUAAUAUUAUUAAUAUUAUCAUAGCAACUGAUAUUUACAGACUGCUUACUAUAACCAGACAUGGCUCUAAGCAUUAUAUACGUGAUUUAAUUGACCUGUUACAAAUCCCGGGGAAGUAGGUUCCAUUAUCUUCAAUUUGCAAAAGGGGCAACGAGGCUUUCAGACCU
RNAcentral lists this long non-coding RNA (2622 nucleotides) under Sus scrofa (pig). Its description in RNAcentral is "lncRNA (ENSSSCG00000045138.1)". The record is from RNAcentral. Lineage: Eukaryota; Metazoa; Chordata; Mammalia; Artiodactyla; Suidae.